AUUGAACGCUGGCGGAAUGCUUUACACAUGCAAGUCGAACGGCAGCACGGGGGCAGCCCUGGUGGCGAGUGGCGAACGGGUGAGUAAUACAUCGGAACGUGCCCGGUCGUGGGGGAUAACGUAGCGAAAGUUACGCUAAUACCGCAUACGAUCUGAGGCUGAAAGCUGGGGACGUUCGGGCCUCGCGCGAUCGGAGCGGUCGAUGUCCGACUAGGUAGUUGGUGGGGUAAAGGCCUACUAAGCCGACGAUCUGUAGCUGGUCUGAGAGGACGACCAGCCACAUGGGGACUGGGCCACGGCCAAGAGUACUACGGGAGGCAGCAGUGGGGAAUUUUGGACAAUGGGGGCAAGCCUGAUACAGCCAUCCCGCGUGCAGGACGAAGGCGUUCGGGUUGUAAACUGCUUUUGUGCGGAACGAAAAGGCUCUGGCUAAUACCUGGGGCUCAUGACGGUACCGGAAGAAUAAGCACCGGCUAACUACGUG
This 484-nucleotide ribosomal RNA is filed under the name uncultured bacterium. RNAcentral's name for it is "partial 16S ribosomal RNA". It matches the Rfam family "Bacterial small subunit ribosomal RNA", at positions 29 to 507 of the family's 1533-position model. The record is from RNAcentral.